Molecule: non-coding RNA, 1045 nt
Organism: Oryzias latipes (Japanese medaka)
Lineage: Eukaryota; Metazoa; Chordata; Actinopteri; Beloniformes; Adrianichthyidae
Source: RefSeq, a predicted model, not a curated record
UCUCGUGUGUCCCUCCGCCCUCCAGCCCCCAUUCUCAGCACACCGUCCGCUCCGCCUCGUUUCUCCAGUUCGGGAAACCAGCGUCGCCUAGAGAGUGGGACCGACCGACACCGGUGUGACUCAUGACAUCAUGAACCCCAACAUGCCUCAAGAACCAAAGUGGAGCCGCUCAGGUUCUCCUUUAUCCAGGACUUUGCAGCAGAAUCCUUCAGAAAAAGCACCAGAAGAUUCUCCAGACUAACCGCCCCUUUUUCACGAGCAAAGAGAAGAACGGUUUGUUUAGAGUCAGCCAGCAUUUCAACCGCUGCACUCUGCAGUGAAGCUGCUCUUCCAUAGAGAAUCUUGGACAAGACUGGACCUUCUGGAGCUCCUCACUUUCCAGAUGCACUGAGGAUAAAGAGGAAGGCACCUCCUCCAAGUUUUUAUUUACUAGUCUAUGCAUUUCACUGCAAGACCUUCUGGAACAAGCUAUCAUUUCUGAAGCUAUAUAAUAAAGCAUUUUAAGGCCUCUAACAGUCUGAACAGAGCUGAAUCGCCGACUUUUUUUAAUCUAAAGUGUAGAAAAUUUGUUUUUGGGACUCCAGAGAACCACAGAGAUCUAUCACCCAAACCAUAGAGAAACUAGUGAAAAUAGGAGAACCUUCCUGAACGUGCAGCCAGUGAGUCCAGGAAAAUAACUAGGACUUACCCAAGAGGCCACCAAAGAAGCAGAAGAUGGAGAAAGUGAAGACCUCAGUUCAGGAGAGAGUUCAUGAUCCAACAGUCAGAAAGGGACUUUUGGACAAACAUGGAUCAGUGGGAUCCCAGGUUGCACAUCUGACAAAAACAUCUUAAUAAAAAGCUGGAUUCAGAAUAACAGCAUUUCAGAAUAACAUCAGAGGACCAAUCAGACUUGGAGGUGACAGUGUUAUGGUGUGGGUCUGCUCCGUUAUAAUCGAUGACAAUUAUUUCUGAUCUCUUCCAAAAAAAUCUAGAACAGGGCCUGCAGCUCUGGAGCCACAUGUGACUGUUUGAGCUCUCCAUUGAGGCUUUCUGGUUGAAGAAU